UACGGAGGUUGCCAGCGUUGUUCGGAAUCACUGGGCGUAAAGGGCGUGCAGGCGGCUUAGCAAGUCAGAUGUGAAAGCCCUGGGCUUAACCCAGGAAGUGCAUUUGAAACUGCUUUGCUUGAGUAUGGGAGAGGAGAGUGGAAUUCCCAGUGUAGAGGUGAAAUUCGUAGAUAUUGGGAGGAACACACGUGGCGAAGGCGACUCUCUGGACCAAUACUGACGCUUAGACGCGAAAGCGUGGGGAGCAAACAGG
RNAcentral lists this ribosomal RNA (253 nucleotides) under uncultured bacterium. RNAcentral's name for it is "partial 16S ribosomal RNA". It matches the Rfam family "Bacterial small subunit ribosomal RNA", at positions 524 to 776 of the family's 1533-position model. The record is from RNAcentral.